GACGAGGGAUCCUAGCGUUGUUCGGAAUCAUUGGGCGUAAAGCGGGUGUAGGUGGCUCUGUAAGUCAAGUGUGAAAGCCCCGGGCUCAACCUGGGAAGUGCAUUUGAUACUGCGGAGCUUGAGUGCUAGAGAGGUCAUUAGAAUACCUGGUGUAGUGGUGAAAUACGUAGAUAUCAGGUGGAAUACCAGAGGCGAAGGCGGAUGGCUGGCUAGACACUGACACUCAGACCCGAAAGCGUGGGGAUCAAACAGG
Molecule: ribosomal RNA, 253 nt
Filed under: uncultured Bdellovibrio sp.
Lineage: Bacteria; Pseudomonadati; Bdellovibrionota; Bdellovibrionia; Bdellovibrionales; Pseudobdellovibrionaceae
Description: partial 16S ribosomal RNA
Rfam family: Bacterial small subunit ribosomal RNA
Source: RNAcentral